Molecule: long non-coding RNA, 1750 nt
Filed under: Mytilus galloprovincialis (Mediterranean mussel)
Lineage: Eukaryota; Metazoa; Mollusca; Bivalvia; Mytilida; Mytilidae
Source: RNAcentral
AUAAAGGAAACAUUUUCAUUUACUAGUAGUUGAAUACCAUCCGAGGUGUUGAAGUAUUCAAUAAUGUUAAAGGAAGCAUUUGUACUGUUUGUUGUUUCAUUUGGAAUCGUUUCAUCAGCAAAGGUAUUGUUUUUAACUUUAUCUCAAAAUAAAAUAUAGAUUAUCAUCAGUGAUAUAGUGAAAAUGAUCCAAUGUAACAAUUAACCAAACAUUUGUGUAAUUCUUUAAGUGAAUUCGAUGCAACUUUCUCUCAAAAGAAAAUAUCGACUAUCAUCAGAGGACGUUGAAAAUGAUGCAAUGUAAUCAUUAACUAAACAUUUGGGUCCAAUUGUUUAAAGUGAAUUCGAUGCAAUGAGUGCAACAAUUGUUGACGUGUAACUAUUUUUUUUAUAUAGGAAAAACAAUUUUGUGGGAAAGGAAUUCGUUCGUUAAACAUAAUAAAAACACAAAGACAAAAACAAAAUCUUUGUGCGAAAAAGUUGAUAAACACAAAAAGUUAAACAAAAGAGUCAUUGGGAAAUACAACAAAAUUAAUUCAGAUAAAACAGUGACGUCUAAAUAAUGAAAAUCCGAUACUCUUUCGAAAACAAGAAGAUGUGGAAUGAUUGCCAACGAGAACAUUUCACAAGACACCAAAUAAACUUAUAUAGGCUCUGAUACUCUUAUACGAUAACAAGUAGAUAUGGAAUGCCAAUUAUACCAUAUCCACCAUAUAUCAAGUUGUCUUAUUACGCCUCCUCUGAUAAUUUAAUACGAAAGCAAGUAGAUGUGGAAUGAUUGCCAAUUAGACAAUAUCCACCAUACAUCAAUUAAUCUUCUAUAGCCUCUAUCUAACUGCUUAUGACAAAACAUUGCUAUUAGUUUUGUGGACUUAUGCUCAUUAAAUUAUUCGAUUGAUGUGUGUGAGCUUUUGAUUUUGCCAUUUGGUAAAGGCUUUCCGAUUUGAGUUUUCAUACGAGUUCAGUAUUUUGGUCAUCUUACUUUUUUAUAAUUCUUCAACAAUAUUUUAAACGGUGACUAAUAAAGUAAAGGAUAUACAUUUGACGUUCCAGAUCCAAUGUAGACACGAUUCAGACUGCACGUCAGAUGAAUGUUGUUACUAUCACGAAGGACCUAUUGUAUUAAGUAAGAAAAGACAGGCCCUAUUACCUUUCUCUGGUAUUUUUCAAGGUAAGUUUGAAUACUCUGUUAUUACUUUUAUAUGCCUUUUUUUUUAACAAAUAACACUAGAGAAGUCUACUGUUGACUCAGAGUUCAAAUUUGAGAUGGAAUCAUUAUCAGUAUCUGAGAAAAACAAGUCUUCCCGAUAAGUUAGAUGGCACAAUGCUAUACAAUUAAGAGAAUGAAGAAAAUUAAAACCCUACCACAAGGCUGACAGCGUCAUCUAGUUUUCAAUCUACUCGACUAGAUAUAAGUAGACGAUAUAUUUGAGUUAUUUUGACUGUCCCAAUAAAGGUAAUAAUAAAUUAAGCAUAUUCCUUGCAGACCUAAGCUAUGCGUACAUGACAAAUAUAAAAUUCAUUGCUUAUUAUUGAUUUCAUAAUUACUGUCAUUAUGUUAAUAUAAAUUUAAGGUGGAUGGUGUGAACAAUACAAAACAGAAGGCCAGUCAUGCGGCGUCAUUGAUAAGAUGAACGGUCACUGUGAAUGCAGACCAGGUUUGACUUGUACUUCAGUUCAUAAACGACCUUAACAAUACGGGGAAUGGAUGUAAUUUGUUUAAAACAAUAACCAUUAAAUAAUAAAUUAUG